This 442-nucleotide ribosomal RNA is filed under the name uncultured bacterium. RNAcentral's name for it is "partial 16S ribosomal RNA". It matches the Rfam family "Bacterial small subunit ribosomal RNA", at positions 338 to 795 of the family's 1533-position model. The record is from RNAcentral.
CCUACGGGAGGCAGCAGUGGGGAAUAUUGCGCAAUGGGCGCAAGCCUGACCCAGCAACGCCGCGUGAGGGAAGAAGGCUUUCGGGUUGUAAACUUCUUUUAAGAGGGAAGAGCAGAAGACGGUACCUCUUGAAUAAGCCACGGCUAACUACGUGCCAGCAGCCGCGGUAAUACGUAGGUGGCAAGCGUUGUCCGGAUUUACGGGGGGUAAAGGGCGUGCAGCCGGGAAGACAAGUCAGAUGUGAAAGCCCGGGGCUCAACCGCGGAAAUGCCUUUGAAACUGGUUUUCUUGAGUACCGGAGAGGUGAUAGGAAUUCCUUGUGUAGCGGUGAAAUGCGUAGAUAUAAGGAAGAACACCAGUGGCGAAGGCGGAUGACUGGACGGCAACUGACGGUGAGGCGCGAAAGCGUGGGGAGCAAACAGGAUUAGAUACCCUUGUAGUC